CAAUUAACUGGGAACUUGAAACUAUACCAGCUGUUUUUUACGAGGAUGUUAUUCUAAAGUGCACACUCCCGCUGAACUGUUGCAAGAUAAUGCAGUCUCGAAGGUGGCUGGGAGGGAAUGAUCUACAUUUACUGACAAUGAACGGGUUUUCUAUCAAUACUAGCAAAUAUUCUGAAGACUUCAAUAAAGAGAAUAAAACUUCAAUCUUAAUUAUACAUCAUUUUGAUAUCAUGGACAUUAAUAUCCCAUAUGAGUGUAUUUAUGGAUCCUCAACCUUUGUGAAAAUUCUGAAUUUGACAGAAGAUAUAUUUGAAUAUCACAAGUCUGGACCAUAUGUUGGGAGUAUCAAUAUUACUGAUACCAACGUUUUAUCUGUUGAUAUAUCUAUUGAAACAGUGUAUCCACGACCAAAAUGUUCGGCUGCAAUUAACGAUGAAGAUAUUUCAUCGUACAUGACGACAACUAAAAUUCUGAAAGGACUCUUCUUCUGUGCAAUUAUAACAGGAACAUUCUUAUUGACACCAGCAAGUUGUCCGGGUUUACUCAGUAUAACUUGUGAAAUAGGAACAUACCUAUUAGACUAUGAGAAAAACAUAACUUGUAAUAGGAUUAUUAGCGACGAAA
Mytilus californianus (California mussel) is the source of this 624-nucleotide long non-coding RNA. RefSeq lists it as uncharacterized. The transcript is spliced from 3 exons. NCBI's taxonomy places the organism in Eukaryota, Metazoa, Mollusca, Bivalvia, Mytilida, Mytilidae. The record is from RefSeq and is a predicted model, not a curated record.